Molecule: ribosomal RNA, 437 nt
Filed under: uncultured bacterium
Lineage: Bacteria
Description: bacterial SSU rRNA
Rfam family: Bacterial small subunit ribosomal RNA
Source: RNAcentral
AACGCGAAGAACCUUACCUGGGUUUGACAUGCACGUGAAAGCCUUGUGAAAGCAGGGCCCUCCUUCGGGACGCGUGCACAGGUGCUGCAUGGCUGUCGUCAGCUCGUGUCGUGAGAUGUUGGGUUAAGUCCCGCAACGAGCGCAACCCUUGCCCCGUGUUACUAACAGGUCAAGCUGAGGACUCUCGGGGGACUGCCGGCGUCAAGCCGGAGGAAGGUGGGGACGACGUCAAGUCAUCAUGGCCCUUACGCCCAGGGCUACACACGUGCUACAAUGGCCAGGACAGAGGGCAGCAAGACCGCAAGGUGGAGCGAAUCCCAGAAACCUGGUCCAAGUUCGGAUUGUGGGCUGCAACUCGCCCGCAUGAAGCCGGAAUCGCUAGUAAUCGCGGAUCAGCUACGCCGCGGUGAAUACGUUCCCGGGCCUUGUACACACCG